RNAcentral lists this ribosomal RNA (622 nucleotides) under Paenibacillus sp. WS601. RNAcentral describes it as "bacterial SSU rRNA". It matches the Rfam family "Bacterial small subunit ribosomal RNA", at positions 903 to 1524 of the family's 1533-position model. Lineage: Bacteria; Bacillati; Bacillota; Bacilli; Caryophanales; Paenibacillaceae. The record is from RNAcentral.
AARGGAAUUGACGGGGACCCGCMCAASCAGUGGAGUAUGUGGUUUAAUUYGAAGCAACGCGAAGAACCUUACCAGGUCUUGACAUCCYUCUGACCGUCCUAGAGAUAGGGCUUUCCUUCGGGACAGAGGAGACAGGUGGUGCAUGGUUGUCGUCAGCUCGUGUCGUGAGAUGUUGGGUUAAGUCCCGCAACGAGCGCAACCCUUGAUCUUAGUUGCCAGCACUUUGGGUGGGCACUCUAGGAUGACUGCCGGUGACAAACCGGAGGAAGGUGGGGAUGACGUCAAAUCAUCAUGCCCCUUAUGACCUGGGCUACACACGUACUACAAUGGCCGAUACAACGGGAAGCGAAACCGCGAGGUGGAGCCAAUCCUAUCAAAGUCGGUCUCAGUUCGGAUUGCAGGCUGCAACUCGCCUGCAUGAAGUCGGAAUUGCUAGUAAUCGCGGAUCAGCAUGCCGCGGUGAAUACGUUCCCGGGUCUUGUACACACCGCCCGUCACACCACGAGAGUUUACAACACCCGAAGCCGGUGGGGUAACCGCAAGGAGCCAGCCGUCGAAGGUGGGGUAGAUGAUUGGGGUGAAGUCGUAACAAGGUAGCCGUAUCGGAAGGUGCGGCUGGAUC